UUAACUUAAAUUGGUAUGGAGUUGGAAUGUUUCGCUACGUUUGCCGCUAGGGGCGCUGUUCCAACUCCAUACAAAAUUGAGUUA
This is a non-coding RNA of Bombyx mori (domestic silkworm), 84 nucleotides long. The record is from Rfam. Lineage: Eukaryota; Metazoa; Arthropoda; Insecta; Lepidoptera; Bombycidae.